GACGAACGCUGGCGGCGUGCUUAACACAUGCAAGUCGAACGGAAAGGCCCUGCUUUUGUGGGGUGCUCGAGUGGCGAACGGGUGAGUAACACGUGAGUAACCUGCCCUUGACUUUGGGAUAACUUCAGGAAACUGGGGCUAAUACCGGAUAGGAGCUCCUGCUGCAUGGUGGGGGUUGGAAAGUUUCGGCGGUUGGGGAUGGACUCGCGGCUUAUCAGCUUGUUGGUGGGGUAGUGGCUUACCAAGGCUUUGACGGGUAGCCGGCCUGAGAGGGUGACCGGCCUCAUUGGGCCUGCGAGACGCCCCAGACUCCUACGGGAGGCAGCAGUGGGGAAUAUUGCACAAUGGGCGGAAGCCUGAUGCAGCAACGCCGCGUGCGGGAUGACGGCCUUCGGGUUGUAAACCGCUUUCGCCUGUGACGAAGCGUGAGUGACGGUAAUGGGUAAAGAAGCACCGGCUAACUACGUG
RNAcentral lists this ribosomal RNA (468 nucleotides) under uncultured bacterium. RNAcentral's name for it is "partial 16S ribosomal RNA". It matches the Rfam family "Bacterial small subunit ribosomal RNA", at positions 28 to 507 of the family's 1533-position model. The record is from RNAcentral.